Molecule: non-coding RNA, 30 nt
Filed under: Mus musculus (house mouse)
Lineage: Eukaryota; Metazoa; Chordata; Mammalia; Rodentia; Muridae
Source: RNAcentral
UUCUUAACUAAGCUCUGGUGCAGAGGAUUU